Molecule: long non-coding RNA, 1297 nt
Organism: Esox lucius (northern pike)
Lineage: Eukaryota; Metazoa; Chordata; Actinopteri; Esociformes; Esocidae
Source: Ensembl
CGGGGAAGGGGACGGUUGAUGUUGAGAUAUGUGUCUUCAGAAACACUGUAAGCUACUGAUCGGUGGUGACCAGUGGCAGAUACACAACUAGAGCGCUGACCAACGCUACAAUUCAGUUAACAAGGAGGUAUUAUCUAUGACUAGGGCCUGUGAGCAGAUCCAGGACAUCAUUUUGCAGGGGAAAACGGAUUAUAAGCCAUUCUUGAGCUAACUGGGAGUUCAAGCCUUGGACAAAAUUUGGGAUGAAGUUUAUGAAAUAUUCUCACUUACUCCAACUCUCAUAUUCCAGAGAAAACCCACAGCCAACAAUCGUUCCUGUUAAACAACAACAGCACAGUUGACAGGGAGCCGAUGGAGGAAAUCAAAACAUCUACUAUACUGACACAAUGAUUAACAACCUGCCUGCUGAAUAACAGUUCAGCGUUGACAGUGACUGCGCUGUCAUGAACGACUCCAAGAAGAAAUUAAAUGCUCAAGAGACAAUGCGUGGCUCAUGGAACAUUCUGUUGUUACAUGGUCAGAGGGCCACAAGGAACACUCAGACCUAACCCUGAUGGCUUGGUGCCCAUGACUACAGAGAACCGCACAGACACCCAGAUGUUGCGUCAACCUGGGGAGGAAAUUCCCAUCCUUCCAAGAUAAAAUCAAGUGUCUACUUAUGUUGACUAUCUGGUCACACCUGCCACUGUGAGAACAAGAUCAGGCAGAGGUGUGAUCAAACUAAUAAUUACAGAAUUUUGAGACUGUGAGUAAAAAAAAAAAAAACUUUUCUUUUGAGUGCCUAGGGCAGUUCAUCAGCAAAGAAUAUGACAAACGUUCAUGCGAAAUGAUUAAUUUAUUUCACUGAGCUUUUAGUGAAAGGCUGUAGUCUACCCUUUGUUCUCUGAAUGGGAGAUGUGGUGUUUGCUAUAGAUUGAGUAAGACUUAGGACGGGAUGACGACUUGUCAAUAAGAGUUCAGGACAAGGGAAACUGGAAGAUGUUUUAGCAUUCUAACGGGCAGUUGAAAUGUACAGUAAGUAGGUGUAUGUUUGUCGUCAACUGUAAAAAGAACACAGAUGAAAUAAAUCGCACAACAUAUAUCAUAACAUCUGAUAGAAUAACAUUUGGGGAAACCUUGUCUAAUCAUUUCAAUGUUUGUUGUUAUAAGUAACUUACCGUUAAUGUUCGGCCAUUGCCUUCACAUUAAAGCGGGUGGUGAGAAAAAAAAAAGGAGACAAGCAGAAUCCUUUCAGUUUUCAUGGUGUUUUAUUGGUUUUGGGAUUUAUUGCAAUCUUUUCAAGGGUGAACAUAACCAG